CCUACGGGAGGCAGCAGUGGGGAAUAUUGGGCAAUGGGCGAAAGCCUGACCCAGCAACGCCGCGUGAAGGAAGAAGGCUUUCUGGUUGUAAACUUCUUUUUACAGGGGAGAGCAGAACACGGUACCUGUCGAAUAAGCCACGGCUAACUACGGGCCAGCAGCCGCGGGAAUGCGUAGGUGGCAAGCGUUAUCCGGAUUUAAUGGGUGUAAAGGGCGUGUAGCCGGGCUGACAAGGCAGGUGUGAAAUCCGGGGGCUCAACCCCCGAACUGCAUUUGAAACUGUUGGUCUUGAGUAUCGGAGAGGCAGGCGGAAUUCCUAGUGUAGCGGUGAAAUGCGUAGAUAUUAGGCGGAACACCAGUGGCGAAGGCGGCCUGCUGGACGACAACUGACGGUGAGGCGCGAAAGCGUGGGGAGCAAACAGGAUUAGAUACCCCUGUAGUC
RNAcentral lists this ribosomal RNA (442 nucleotides) under uncultured bacterium. RNAcentral describes it as "partial 16S ribosomal RNA". It matches the Rfam family "Bacterial small subunit ribosomal RNA", at positions 338 to 795 of the family's 1533-position model. The record is from RNAcentral.